Molecule: ribosomal RNA, 460 nt
Filed under: uncultured bacterium
Lineage: Bacteria
Description: bacterial SSU rRNA
Rfam family: Bacterial small subunit ribosomal RNA
Source: RNAcentral
GUACGGAAGGCAGCAGUGAGGAAUAUUGGACAAUGGGCGCAAGCCUGAUCCAGCCAUGCCGCGUGCAGGAAGACGCAUCUAUGGUGUGUAAACUGCUUUUGUACGGGAAGAAACACCCCCUCGUGAGGGGGCUUGACGGUACCGUAAGAAUAAGGAUCGGCUAACUCCGUGCCAGCAGCCGCGGUAAUACGGAGGAUCCAAGCGUUAUCCGGAAUCAUUGGGUUUAAAGGGUCCGUAGGCGGUUUGGUAAGUCAGUGGUGAAAGCCCAUCGCUCAACGAUGGAACGGCCAUUGAUACUGCCAGACUUGAAUUACUGGGAAGUAACUAGAAUAUGUAGUGUAGCGGUGAAAUGCUUAGAUAUUACAUGGAAUACCAAUUGCGAAGGCAGGUUACUACCGGUGGAUUGACGCUGAUGGACGAAAGCGUGGGGAGCGAACAGGAUUAGAUACCCGAGUAGUCC